This 325-nucleotide ribosomal RNA is filed under the name uncultured Mucoromycota. Its description in RNAcentral is "partial large subunit ribosomal RNA". It matches the Rfam family "Eukaryotic large subunit ribosomal RNA", at positions 40 to 358 of the family's 3401-position model. The record is from RNAcentral. Lineage: Eukaryota; Fungi; Mucoromycota.
AUAUUACUAAGCGGAGGAAAAGAAACUAACUAGGAUUCCCCCAGUAACGGCGAGUGAAGAGGGAAGAGCCCAAAUUGAAAAUCUGCGCACGGCGACGGGUGCAGAAUUGUAGUCUAGAGAAGCGCUUUCGGGGCCGGCGGCUGGUAGAAAUCCUUUGGAACAGGGUAUCGUAGAGGGUGAGAGUCCCGUCCGCGACCAGCCAAGGGCACCAACUGAGGCGUCUUCGACGAGUCGCGUUGCUUGGGAGUGCAGCGCAAAACGGGUGGUAAACGCCAUCUAAGGCUAAAUACAGGCAAGAGACCGAUAGCGAACAAGUACCGUGAGG